AGCAUACUGUCAAAAUAUGGAAUCUUGUGUUUGGCAUACCAACUGUACAAAUUUAAUGAUGGGAUUUGUCCGAAUAGAGCGACUACGCAGGGGUUGAAAGGCUUCCCUGUAAAGUGUGCUCAACAAGUCGGUGCCCGCGAGUGUGGCUAUUACAUUAUGAAGUUCAUGCAUGAAAUAGUCACGUUACACCAUAACUCUGAUGAGCGGUUAGAUAAUGUUCGUUCUUUUACCAUAUGUUAGUUGAACUACUAAUACUAGUACUUGUACGUAGUAGAAUUCUUAAUUUACAAGUAGCAUUACUUAUCAUGUUACUUAUUUCAGGCUUACACUCCAAGAA
Long non-coding RNA from Spinacia oleracea (spinach), 337 nucleotides. RefSeq lists it as uncharacterized. NCBI's taxonomy places the organism in Eukaryota, Viridiplantae, Streptophyta, Magnoliopsida, Caryophyllales, Amaranthaceae. The record is from RefSeq and is a predicted model, not a curated record. The transcript has 3 exons.